Carassius carassius (crucian carp) is the source of this 485-nucleotide long non-coding RNA. RefSeq lists it as uncharacterized. NCBI's taxonomy places the organism in Eukaryota, Metazoa, Chordata, Actinopteri, Cypriniformes, Cyprinidae. The record is from RefSeq and is a predicted model, not a curated record. The transcript has 3 exons.
GAAGGAGUCACUGGAGCAGAAGGAGAUGGCUGGGAUGAAAUACUGGUAGUGCUGGGAUCUGGUGGUGUCAAUACACUUAACUUUUGUUGAUCUGCACUUUUUUAACACUUUGAAAUCCUUUCUCCACUUCACUUUUCAACUCUUUGAAACCGGUGAGACAUUGAUCAGUUUGAGUAACACAUUGUUGGAGUUGUGAAGUUAUCUUAUUGUGGCUUGUUUGGAAAGUGUUUUGAACAGCUUUGAUGUCCUGCUGAACCUCUGCUUGGAGUUGAUCAACCAUGAAUCGUAGUUCGGACACCAAGCAAGAUCAGCAAUCUGGCUCUGGUGCUGAGAAGAGGUAUCUUUCACUUCCUGGGUGAGAGUUUGUACUGGAGUGCUCCCAGCCAGAGCAGGAGAGGACAUGUGCACACGGGUUCCAGGAUGAACAGGGCUGAGUGGAGUGGGGGUAUGGUAGAACACCGGAGCACAUGGAGCUGGUUCCAGAG